Long non-coding RNA from Clupea harengus (Atlantic herring), 2844 nucleotides. Lineage: Eukaryota; Metazoa; Chordata; Actinopteri; Clupeiformes; Clupeidae. The record is from Ensembl.
GACAAUCAAUACCAAACAGUUGCCUGUUUAGAGGCAGAUAUGGAGACAAGAUUAAUCGACUUUGCCACAAGGGUCCCAGGAAAGGGGGUGGUGCCAAACACACACACACACACAGAGAGAGAGAGAGAGAGAGAGAGAGAGAAGUUAGGAAUACAAGUUAGAGAAUGGGGUUAGUUCUGAUUGGCCUUGGAGAACAUCCAAACACGAGAGAGUGGGAGGAACUAGGUUCCUUUAAAAAGUCUGACCCGACAUUCAUACAAUGAGAUCGAGCUAAUCCAUGGAUCAUCUUCUAUUGUGGCGAGGAGACGGAGAGGCCGGACGGACGAUUGACUUGACUGACGGAUGUGCAGGUACGGACUGGUGUGGAGACAGAAGACCAAGGCUGUUUGAAAAUACUUCCAGUGAUCAUAGGAGAUCAGGUAUCAACUGGUAUAAUUUCUCACACUGUGCACUGGCUAAAACUAAGAAACAUGAGUCUGACUAACCUACUCAUAGUAAAACAGUCAGGAAUAAACAACCCCCUGAUAGAUUGGCUAAAUGAUAAGUUCUGGAAGUGGGGAACAUGGUUGAGACGAGUGUUUUUAGGAGUAGCAGUGGGAGGUGCCAUGCUGAUAGCUACUCGCACAAUAGAGAGAGCAGUCAAUGGAAAAGAUGAGAACCCAGGUGCACCACCUGAGUGGCAGGCAAAACAAAUAGAAAACCUCCCGGUCAAGACACUAAAGGGAUUAGGAAGUCUACUAAAGGAAAUAGGAGAUAGAGUAGACAAGGAGGGGUUCUUUAUACCCAUAGAGAGUGAGAACAACACUGACUGGAGUAAGGCUGUAUGGACAAAGCCUGAGGGCCCAUAUACUCCUAAUUGCCCAAUAGGCAAUCCCUACUGUAAGUAUGGUUAUGGGGGUGGAGCGGGCUGGAUGUGUUGGAAGUGGGCAGAAAUAUACAACAAAGAAAUAGCUAGAUUGUAUGACGCAGCAUUGUUGUUGAAUGAGGAUUGGGCUAUUGCUGGCCGACCUGAUGGUUAUGUAAGUGAUGAGGAUGUUGAGGAGGAUAUAGUACCUCCCGAGGACCUGGAAAGGGGGACAACACCGGAACCUGAUGUGCUGGCCCAGAUGUUGAACCUACACACAUUGACAUUGAAUGAAAUAUUUAACCUGGGGGAGGAGGAUCUGUUUGCUGACGAUUUGUUUCAGGAUGGGUCGAGGAGGAGAAAUGGGAAACAGAAUGAGGCACUUCAGGAUGCAUGGUCUGAUUGGCCCGACAUCACAGAGCACAUGUACUGGCGUGAACCACAGAUGAAAGAAUUUGAGGAAUGGGAGCGUAGAGAGCAGCGUAAGAAACGUAGUAAGAAGCGUAAGAAGCGUAGACAGCAGUAUUAGGUGGCAGGGAAUGAAAGUGCGUAUGAAUGGAGGCUCUUGCUUAAUUGCGCUGGCUAUUUGGCUUAUGUGCUAGGAUUUCAGUAUAGGAGUGCAUACUGUGGAAUGUGCUUAUGUUCUCUCUUUGCCUCUUAUCUUUCUUUCCCUCAUUUUCCAACAUAAUCGCAUUGUUUAAAUCAAAUGUGCCUAUGUUCUCUCUUUGUCUCUUAUCUUUCUUUCUCUCAUUUUUCCAACAUAUAAUCGCAUUUUUUUAAUCAUACGUAAAGGAAUGCAUAGUUAAAUGUGUUACAUAGUUAAUUAAUUUUUAGUAGGGCCUGUAUUAUGAGAGGUCUUAUUUACUAUAUAGUCAAAGGUUAAAGGAAGUGCAUAAUUUAAACUUUCAAUUGAUGUAGCAUGUUUAUUAGGUCAAAUAUAUACUGUAGUAUUGCAUGGUACCGUGUGUACAAUAUACCCAAUUGCAUUUUUUUUUUUUUAUAAGAAUAGGUGUUUAGACACUAAAAGGUUGCGCUCUGAGGGCAGACCUCAAGCAAAAAGCGCGAGCGGUUCUACCAAAGCUUUGGUGAAUUGAUACCUGAAAGGGGGCAGGUAUCCCCGCGACAGAGUAAGCGCCUGGAGGUGUGUUAUGCUUAUGCUGUGCUAGAAUGCGAAAGGAGGGUGUUUUGAUAUUAUUGUGUAAAGUAAUUAAGAAAACACCCCACAAUGUAACCCUGCUUUUUAGUGCUUGCCUGAAUGUGGUGUUGACCUCAUAAAUGAGGUCAAAGGAGGGAUUGUAAGAGAAAAUCAAGUUUAUUGAUGUCACCAAUGGUUAGUCAUCAACAAGCAGUUCAGUUGAAGUUCAUGUCAAGCAAUUUAGCUCAAACAACAAACAAAUUAAUAACUAAUUUCACGGUGCUAAGAAAAGAGGCCUAUUACCCUGAGGUGUCGCUGCUGGUGUGAAUUUGACGGGGCCAGCACGGGCCAGCAGUGACAGUGGCCGUAACUUACAACUUUUUAGGUCAGAAAGAACACCAUGGGACAAGGACAAGAUAAGAUUAACAGCCGAACUGUGAGAAUUGAGGUUCUCAAACUGAGGCCCCAUUGUUAAAGAGUUAGUUAGUUACAGCUCCCCAGGGGAUCCAUGAUUAAGCAACAUUGUCGCAACUGUGGGGUUAAAAGAUUGAAUUGCGUAUGUGAAUGUCAGAAUGCAUUCUCCAGUCGUGGGUGACAGAGCUCUUUGUGAACUCACCUAAGACUGUAUUUGUACAUCUCUUGAAACUCAGUAAACUCAACUGUAUUCAAACCUAUUGCUUCAUGGCGGUCUUUCACUUGAUUCUCUGUAAACCAACACGUAGAAAUAGUAUAAUUUAACAGCAUGCAAGUGACUUAACCCUAACUUAACCUGGGGAUGAUUAUAAACUUAUUGCUAAAAACAACCUGGUAAUAUUGGUGCUAUAUUCAGAUUUGCCUAUAGUUUACAUUGGUGCAGAUAAUGUUA